RNAcentral lists this non-coding RNA (148 nucleotides) under Nomascus leucogenys (northern white-cheeked gibbon). Lineage: Eukaryota; Metazoa; Chordata; Mammalia; Primates; Hylobatidae. The record is from Rfam by way of RNAcentral.
GCCGGGCGUGGUGGCGCACGCCUAUAAUCCCAGCUACUCAGGAGGCUGAGGCAGGAGAAUUGCUUGAACCCGGGAGGCAGAGGUUGCAGUGAGCUGAGAUUGUGCCACUGCACUCCAGCCUGGGUGACAGAGCUAGACUCUGUCUGAA